RNAcentral lists this long non-coding RNA (1226 nucleotides) under Vulpes vulpes (red fox). RNAcentral describes it as "lncRNA (ENSVVUG00000016826.1)". The record is from RNAcentral. Lineage: Eukaryota; Metazoa; Chordata; Mammalia; Carnivora; Canidae.
CAAUCCAAAACUCCAUGGUUUACAAAACUAAAUAUGUCUAUUUCUCUCUCAGGUGUCCUUACGUUGACUAGGGCUCUCGGGACUGGACGAAGAACAGCUGAUCUUGGCUCUGGGCUACAGGUUGGCUGCAGGACCACUCUAUAUGGCUCUCCAUUCUCCUUGAAACGGGAGAUACCUAAGGAAUAUUCUUCUCUUGGUGACUGGCAGGAGUGCAAGAGAACCAAACUGAACCAUUCAAAGGCUGUAAUGCAGACUAUAGGAAACACAAAUGUGUAAGAGGCCUAUCUCUAAGAGAAGACAGAGUCAUCAAAGACACCCAGUUGCGUGUGGGAGUCAUCACUGGGGGUUGAAUGAUCAGGCCAAAAACAACUGGGCAUGGCUCAGUUUCUGGAGCUGUUUCAUGUCAGGGUUAACUCCCACUUCAAAGAAACCCAGCAGACGGGAAAUGAAAGUUCAGGACAUCUUCCUUUGAAUCUGUUUUCAAAAUGGCUCAUGCAGUUUGCUGGCUGGUAUCUUGGAAAAGUGUACUUCAAGGUUCAUCAUUAUUAUUUGCCUUUUAUCAAGAGCCAAUAAUAUGCACUGAAGAUGCACGUGUACAUAUAAAUUAUUAUUCUUCACUUAUGAGGUUGGCGAUGAUAACACUGGUAUCCUUUUGGGAGAAUAUGUCUAGAAAACUUGAUGAGUGACCCACACACAUCCUCAAUAAGACUAGACCCAAAUCAAGUAGUUGGAAAAGUUAUUAAUAAGAGAUGAGACUUUCAUAGGGAGUCAGACCACCAGGAUCUGGAUACAAGUUUCACAGAAGGGAGCAAAUGAGCAUUUGAAGGAAAAAAGGAGGAAAACAAAGACACCUCCUUCCUCCUUUCUGCUCCUGUUGAGUCAAAUAGAAAUAGGCAGAUUGUCCCAACUGACCCAUCUGUGACUUCUUGGUAAACAGAUCUUCGUCUUGUAAAGAAAAUUAAAUCUCUCUGAGCAGCUUCAGACUCUGAUCCUUGGACUUCUGAUCCUCAGAUUUAUGAUGGUUAAUCUAUUCUCUCUGCACUGCCACAGAUCAUGUCUCUACCUGCUAAUCCAGAUUUAACUAGGCCAGUGAGCAUGAGAGUAGAAACAGGGGUCAUCUUAAUUGUUGAAAAUCAGUUUUGUCCAGCCCUAGCCUAAACCAACUAAUUUUGAAGUUACCAGGAGGUAUCCCAUAGCUCAGUAAAAUAAAAUAAGCACAUAAAACA